GUGAGCUGACCUUUCCCGCCUCUUCCUCCAGGAGCGUCAGGACCCAAGCUGGAGGACGCCAUGGGACUUCUCCUCUGCGCCUUCAUCCUCUACGGGGCCCUCAAGAUGUUGCACCAAUGGCUCUUCCCCCAAGUGAACCAGCCCAGAGUGAACUCAGAGGAAGAUCUCAAGAUGAAAAACUAACCCUGUGAACUGCGGCCAUAAGGCAGGGAUCCUCGUUCGUGACAUCUUUGCUAAUCACGUCUAUGGAAAGGAGACUCGACCCUUCUCCUGUUACCUGUUGGACCCCCACCCCCCCCCCCCCCCCCCCAUGCUUCAAGACCGGGUGAUGGAUGGUGCUGAGUGUGGGCUUCUAUCGAGUUGUAUACAAUUAUUUUCAGCGAGUGCACUGAUACUGAUUAAACUGCGUCUGCGUUUGUUUCUACC
Molecule: long non-coding RNA, 426 nt
Organism: Amblyraja radiata (thorny skate)
Lineage: Eukaryota; Metazoa; Chordata; Chondrichthyes; Rajiformes; Rajidae
Exons: 4
Source: RefSeq, a predicted model, not a curated record